Molecule: unclassified non-coding RNA, 288 nt
Filed under: uncultured Borreliella sp.
Lineage: Bacteria; Pseudomonadati; Spirochaetota; Spirochaetia; Spirochaetales; Borreliaceae
Description: partial 5S-23S intergenic spacer
Rfam family: Bacterial large subunit ribosomal RNA (bases 111-288)
Source: RNAcentral
UCAAAUAAUGUAAAAAAUAAAAUAGAUAUUGACAUGGAUUGAACAAAAGAUAUAUAUUAUUUUAUGUUGCAUAAACAAAUUGGCAAAAUAGAGAUGGAAGAUAAAAAUAUGGUCAAAGUAAUAAGAGUCUAUGGUGAAUGCCUAGGAGCUUUAAGGCGAAGAAGGUCGUGGUAAGCUGCGAAAAGCUUGGGGGAGAAGCAAACAUUUAUUGAUCCCAAGAUUACCGAAUGGAGUAAUCCAACUAGUAAGAUGCUAGUUAUCUAUUAUCUAAAUAAUAGAGGCGAUACC